Long non-coding RNA from Octopus bimaculoides (California two-spot octopus), 133 nucleotides. The record is from RefSeq and is a predicted model, not a curated record. NCBI's taxonomy places the organism in Eukaryota, Metazoa, Mollusca, Cephalopoda, Octopoda, Octopodidae.
AGUUUGGCUGUUAUGUCUAGCAGACUGAACAACAUGAACUCUUUUGUUGGCUCAUCUUUUUUUAAAUAGAGGAACUGAAUUGUAGAGAUAUUUCUGCUUUUUUUCAUCAGUUUCAGUUUGUCAUCAGCAACAA